UUGGUAACGAGAAGGAAGCAGAGAACUGUCGCAAAGCAGACCCAAACCUCCUUCAUGCUUUGGACCAGUGUGCGGAGGGGAGGUCCUUCACAAAUUGGAAGUCCAAAAUGCCGCCUGAGUUGAUGGACAAGUUGGAUGGUAAAAGGAAGGCCUACCCAGAAAACACAUUGGGUUUGUUGCGCUUCAUACGCAACCUUCAUGAGCACUACACUGAGGACGCAGAUUCUGUUGACAUGAUGACAAUGUUCCCUGAUCUCUUUGGAUGCGUCUACAAGUUUGCGAAGAAAAUGGAGUGGAAUUCAAGGAGUAGUCUGAAGAAAAUGUUUUACAGAGAAGAUGUAAGAUAAUGAUUCUGACAUUUGGAAGAUUAACACUGACUAACUUCUGAAAUCUUGGUUUGACUUUUCUGUUGCCAUUUAAAUGACUCACUAGUGUAAGUGUUAGAUGAUUGAUAAACUGUAAACUGAAUGUUCUUUCAAGGAAUUCAAGAGGCUACGCAGCCCUUUGCCUCUGAUUGCCUACUUGGUGUUUUGGCCAUUUUCUUACAUCAU
Molecule: long non-coding RNA, 551 nt
Organism: Salvelinus fontinalis (brook trout)
Lineage: Eukaryota; Metazoa; Chordata; Actinopteri; Salmoniformes; Salmonidae
Exons: 3
Source: RefSeq, a predicted model, not a curated record